GUGAACGCUGGCGGUAGGCCUAACACAUGCAAGUCGAACGGCAGCACAGUAAGAGCUUGCUCUUACGGGUGGAGAGUGGCGGACGGGUGAGGAAUACAUCGGAAUCUACUUUUUCGUGGGGGAUAACGUAGGGAAACUUACGCUAAUACCGCAUACGACCUACGGGUGAAAGCAGGGGAUCUUCGGACCUUGCGCGAUUGAAUGAGCCGAUGUCGGAUUAGCUAGUUGGCGGGGUAAAGGCCCACCAAGGCGACGAUCCGUAGCUGGUCUGAGAGGAUGAUCAGCCACACUGGAACUGAGACACGGUCCAGACUCCUACGGGAGGCAGCGGUGGGGAAUAUUGGACAAUGGGCGCAAGCCUGAUCCAGCCAUACCGCGUGGGUGAAGAAGGCCUUCGGGUUGUAAAGCCCUUUUGUUGGGAAAGAAAAGCAGCAGGUUAAUACCCCGCUGUUCUGACGGUACCCAAAGAAUAAGCACCGGCUAACUUCGUG
This 491-nucleotide ribosomal RNA is filed under the name uncultured bacterium. RNAcentral's name for it is "partial 16S ribosomal RNA". It matches the Rfam family "Bacterial small subunit ribosomal RNA", at positions 29 to 507 of the family's 1533-position model. The record is from RNAcentral.